GGGCGCGGAGGGGAGGCG
This 18-nucleotide unclassified non-coding RNA is filed under the name Chlamydomonas reinhardtii. Its description in RNAcentral is "small RNA Cre_1905". Lineage: Eukaryota; Viridiplantae; Chlorophyta; Chlorophyceae; Chlamydomonadales; Chlamydomonadaceae. The record is from RNAcentral.